UUAACUGAAAAUGCACUUCUUUUGCCUGACCUCACAGACCUUCACCCUCUUGAUUUCACCGUAAACUUUUACUAUUUUAUCCUUCAUCUUUCAUAUUUUCACCUUCUUUGACUUUACCCACAUCCUCUUUACUACCAACUAUCAACCCUCCUUUUGACAAUUUCUCUUUCUGGAUCUACAACGUGAAACUUCAAACGUGAAACUCCGGUGAAGCCAACGCAAGCGUCCUCUUCAACAUUGUCAACAGAAAGCCCAGACACAGACUGCACUCUAGCCCCUUAAGUCCAAGUGGCAGCUUGUUUUAAAAAAAAUAAAUACAUGCAUUACA
Molecule: long non-coding RNA, 328 nt
Organism: Engraulis encrasicolus (European anchovy)
Lineage: Eukaryota; Metazoa; Chordata; Actinopteri; Clupeiformes; Engraulidae
Exons: 2
Source: RefSeq, a predicted model, not a curated record